This 73-nucleotide microRNA precursor is filed under the name Bombyx mori (domestic silkworm). Its description in RNAcentral is "mir-2774 microRNA precursor family". It matches the Rfam family "mir-2774 microRNA precursor family". Lineage: Eukaryota; Metazoa; Arthropoda; Insecta; Lepidoptera; Bombycidae. The record is from Rfam by way of RNAcentral.
ACAACAUUCGGAACGUCGGUCUACUGAGCAAUAUCACCCGCUCAGUGGAAGAUCUUGUGUGUACCUUUGUUGU